RNAcentral lists this ribosomal RNA (253 nucleotides) under uncultured bacterium. Its description in RNAcentral is "partial 16S ribosomal RNA". It matches the Rfam family "Bacterial small subunit ribosomal RNA", at positions 524 to 776 of the family's 1533-position model. The record is from RNAcentral.
UAUGUAGGGUGCGAGCGUUAAUCGGAAUUACUGGGCGUAAAGCGUGCGCAGGCGGAUUGUUAAGCAAGAUGUGAAAUCCCCGGGCUUAACCUGGGAAUGGCAUUUUGAACUGGCAAUCUAGAGUGUGUCAGAGGGGGGUAGAAUUCCACGUGUAGCGGUGAAAUGCGUAGAUAUGUGGAGGAAUACCGAUGGCGAAGGCAGCCUCCUGGGCCAACACUGACGCUCAUGCACGAAAGCGUGGGGAGCAAACAGG